AAAGGAGGAAUAACAACAAUACAGUCUUUAUUUGGCAGCCAAAACUCCACAGACCUCAUCCACACCCGAUGCCCGCUAACGGCUCACUUUUAAUGUUUCCUGCUGCUGCUGCUCUGGAGAGGGACCAUUUGACCCGUGUUUGGAAAACAAGCCAAAUCAAAGAGAGGAAAGCCCUUGGAAAGGCCUCAGCUUCUGCGCAGGCGGGGUGGGGUCGCUGGGUCCAGCCCUGGCCAGUUGAGUUUCUAACAAGUGCCUUGCUUCCCUGAUAUCAAUUCUUCAGCUCACUGAGGAGCUGUGGGACACUUUUCAGAGCAUACACGGUGACAUUAUUUCCCCACCAUAGUCUCCAGGAGCUUGCUAAGGGAGUGGAGACGCACUGUGCAGUGAGCUGACAUAAGAGGGUACCUGUAUCUUCCCAUCAUUGGAGGCACCUGAGUUCCCAGCCACUGGUCUACUGGCAAUGGUGGAGUGUAGAGCGAGGUGAGACAAAUCAGGAUCUGGGGAGGCUCAAUGGAAGCAGAGGCUUGGGAGCAUCAUCCACACAGCCAAGGCUUCUCCAGAGUAAGCGUCCACAGUGUUGGAAACACGCCGCAGGUGACAUAUUCAUCUCUUCCCACUGUAGCACUUAAAGCACUCCUGGGAAUAUUGGGGAGUAUGGGAAAUGUAGUACUCCUGGGAAUACUGGGGGAGUGUGGCAAGUGUAGUACCCAAGCUGCAGCAACCAGGGAAAACCUGGCAGCGUGGCUGAGGUAGAAUGUUGGGUGGGGGUGGGGCAAAUCUAGGACAGAGGCGGCCCCCACUGCAGUGGGUUUCAGCUGCUUUCCCAGAGACAUUGCUUGCCCACCCUGGGGUUCACCGUUCUUUCACCCUCCUGGUAACGGCUGCCUUGGCUGUUGUGGC
This 900-nucleotide small RNA is filed under the name Rattus norvegicus (Norway rat). RNAcentral's name for it is "uncharacterized LOC102557118". The record is from RNAcentral. Lineage: Eukaryota; Metazoa; Chordata; Mammalia; Rodentia; Muridae.